AACACUGGUUGGGAGAGUGGCCUGGGGCAAGGGUGAUAUGUGUGGUGUCAUGGUGUUGCAUGCAAGAUUCAUGUGACUGAGUGUGAGUGGACGCAUGACUGUAUGAGUGUGCGAGUGAGGCAUGCAAGGCAGGUGUGUGCACCAGUGCCAGAGCCCUUCCUCCCCACACACCUUGAUCAUAUUUGAUCAGCCCAGAGGAGCUGACCUGACAUAAAUAGCUCCCUUCCUGAGAAGCCCCUUA
Non-coding RNA from Suricata suricatta (meerkat), 241 nucleotides. The record is from Ensembl. Lineage: Eukaryota; Metazoa; Chordata; Mammalia; Carnivora; Herpestidae.